GGGAAUGUGGCUUAGUAGAAGAGUGCUUGCUUAGCAUGCAUGAAGCCCUGAGUUCAAUUCCUCAGUCCCA
RNAcentral lists this transfer RNA (70 nucleotides) under Dipodomys ordii (Ord's kangaroo rat). It matches the Rfam family "tRNA". Rfam says of the family: Transfer RNA (tRNA) molecules are approximately 80 nucleotides in length. Their secondary structure includes four short double-helical elements and three loops (D, anti-codon, and T loops). The record is from Rfam by way of RNAcentral. Lineage: Eukaryota; Metazoa; Chordata; Mammalia; Rodentia; Heteromyidae.